GUGCUAUGAUGAUGCAAAUUCAACACAUCAUUCUGAUAUUGCUGUGAUGAGAGCACUUUCCAAGCACUGAGCACA
Polyodon spathula (Mississippi paddlefish) is the source of this 75-nucleotide small nucleolar RNA. RefSeq annotates it as small nucleolar RNA SNORD63. Lineage: Eukaryota; Metazoa; Chordata; Actinopteri; Acipenseriformes; Polyodontidae. The transcript has a single exon. The record is from RefSeq and is a predicted model, not a curated record.